RNAcentral lists this ribosomal RNA (250 nucleotides) under uncultured bacterium. RNAcentral's name for it is "partial 16S ribosomal RNA". It matches the Rfam family "Bacterial small subunit ribosomal RNA", at positions 355 to 621 of the family's 1533-position model. The record is from RNAcentral.
UCGAGAAUCUUCCGCAAUGGGCGAAAGCCUGACGGAGCGAUGUCGCGUGAUGGAUGAAGAGCUUCGGUUUGUAAACAUCUUUUAUGCGGGAAGAACGUUGACGGUACCGCAUGAAUAAGGGGUUGCUAAACUCGUGCCAGCAGCAGCGGUAAUACGAGUACCCCGAGCAUUAUCCGGAAUUAUUGGGCGUAAAGGGUGAGUAGGCGGUACAAUUAGUCGUGUGUUAAAUCCCAGAGCUUAACUUUGGAUU